UCCCUGGUGGCUCAGUGGUAAAGAACCUGUCUGCCAGUGCAGGAGACAUAGGUUCAAUCCCUGAUCUGGGAA
Molecule: transfer RNA, 72 nt
Filed under: Bos indicus (zebu cattle)
Lineage: Eukaryota; Metazoa; Chordata; Mammalia; Artiodactyla; Bovidae
Also listed under: 1 other name
Rfam family: tRNA
About the family: Transfer RNA (tRNA) molecules are approximately 80 nucleotides in length.
Source: Rfam by way of RNAcentral